RNAcentral lists this ribosomal RNA (168 nucleotides) under uncultured bacterium. Its description in RNAcentral is "partial 16S ribosomal RNA". It matches the Rfam family "Bacterial small subunit ribosomal RNA", at positions 1332 to 1500 of the family's 1533-position model. The record is from RNAcentral.
UCGCUAGUAAUCGCAAAUCAGAAUGUUGCGGUGAAUACGUUCCCGGGUCUUGUACACACCGCCCGUCACACCAUGGGAGUCGGAAAUGCCCGAAGUCUGUGACCCAACAUUAAGAGGGAGCAGCCGAAGGCAGGUCUGAUAACUGGGGUGAAGUCGUAACAAGGUACC